UACGAAGGCCUCAAGCGUUAUCCGGAUUUAUUGGGCGUAAAGCGCGUGUAGGGGGUUUGGUAAGUUUUUGGUAAAAUCUCGGAGCUUAACUCCGGGCCCGCCAAGAAAACUGCCAGACUUGAGGGCGUUAGAGGCAGAUGGAACGCACGGUGUAGGGGUGAAAUCCGUUGAUAUCGUGCGGAACACCAAAGGCGAAGGCAUUCUGCUGGGACGUUCCCGACCCUGAGACGUGAAAGCGUGGGGAG
Molecule: ribosomal RNA, 245 nt
Filed under: uncultured bacterium
Lineage: Bacteria
Description: partial 16S ribosomal RNA
Rfam family: Bacterial small subunit ribosomal RNA
Source: RNAcentral